AGACUCUCGCGUGUUCAUGGUGACGAGCCCACAGGUGUGCGGUUCGUGAACAGGGAACUCCGGUGAAAUUCCGGGACGGUCCAGCCGCUGUGUUCCACCAGUGAUUUUAACCAAUCACAUCAUUCGCUCCUUCUAUGGAAGUGCCAUUGCCCGCCAACGGGUGAGAAGGCAGUGAGCGACUGAAAAGGUGGUGAGUCAGAAGACCUACCUUGAGCAAGACGUUUCG
Molecule: non-coding RNA, 226 nt
Filed under: Rhodopirellula sp.
Lineage: Bacteria; Pseudomonadati; Planctomycetota; Planctomycetia; Pirellulales; Pirellulaceae
Source: RNAcentral